This 253-nucleotide ribosomal RNA is filed under the name uncultured bacterium. RNAcentral's name for it is "partial 16S ribosomal RNA". It matches the Rfam family "Bacterial small subunit ribosomal RNA", at positions 524 to 776 of the family's 1533-position model. The record is from RNAcentral.
UACGGGGGGGGCAAGCGUUGUUCGGAAUUACUGGGCGUAAAGGGCUCGUAGGCGGCCAACUAAGUCAAACGUGAAAUCCCUCGGCUUAACCGGGGAACUGCGCUUGAUACUGGAUGGCUUGAGAUUGGGAGAGGGAUGCGGAAUUCCAGGUGUAGCGGUGAAAUGCGUAGAUAUCUGGAGGAACACCGGUGGCGAAGGCGGCAUUCUGGACCAUAACUGACACUGAGAGACGAAAGCCAGGGGAGCAAACGGG